Molecule: transfer RNA, 76 nt
Filed under: Paenibacillus donghaensis
Lineage: Bacteria; Bacillati; Bacillota; Bacilli; Caryophanales; Paenibacillaceae
Description: tRNA-Lys
Rfam family: tRNA
About the family: Transfer RNA (tRNA) molecules are approximately 80 nucleotides in length.
Source: RNAcentral
GCUGGUGUAGCUCAGUUGGUUGAGCACCUGACUUUUAAUCAGGGUGUCGAAGGUUCGAGUCCUCUCGCCGGUAUCA